GCCGUUGUAGCUCAGUUGGUAGAGCAGCUGAUUCGUAAUCAGCAGGUCGCCGGUUCAAAUCCGGCCAACGGCUCCA
RNAcentral lists this transfer RNA (76 nucleotides) under Thermoanaerobaculia bacterium. RNAcentral describes it as "tRNA-Thr". It matches the Rfam family "tRNA". Rfam says of the family: Transfer RNA (tRNA) molecules are approximately 80 nucleotides in length. Their secondary structure includes four short double-helical elements and three loops (D, anti-codon, and T loops). RNAcentral also lists the same sequence under 1 other name. The record is from RNAcentral. Lineage: Bacteria; Pseudomonadati; Acidobacteriota; Thermoanaerobaculia.